This 464-nucleotide ribosomal RNA is filed under the name Candida albicans. RNAcentral describes it as "eukaryotic LSU rRNA". The stretch from base 112 to 265 matches the Rfam family "5.8S ribosomal RNA". Lineage: Eukaryota; Fungi; Ascomycota; Pichiomycetes; Serinales; Debaryomycetaceae. The record is from RNAcentral.
UUUUCUUUGAAACAAACUUGCUUUGGCGGUGGGCCCAGCCUGCCGCCAGAGGUCUAAACUUACAACCAAUUUUUUAUCAACUUGUCACACCAGAUUAUUACUAAUAGUCAAAACUUUCAACAACGGAUCUCUUGGUUCUCGCAUCGAUGAAGAACGCAGCGAAAUGCGAUACGUAAUAUGAAUUGCAGAUAUUCGUGAAUCAUCGAAUCUUUGAACGCACAUUGCGCCCUCUGGUAUUCCGGAGGGCAUGCCUGUUUGAGCGUCGUUUCUCCCUCAAACCGCUGGGUUUGGUGUUGAGCAAUACGACUUGGGUUUGCUUGAAAGACGGUAGUGGUAAGGCGGGAUCGCUUUGACAAUGGCUUAGGUCUAACCAAAAACAUUGCUUGCGGCGGUAACGUCCACCACGUAUAUCUUCAAACUUUGACCUCAAAUCAGGUAGGACUACCCGCUGAACUUAAGCAUAU